UAGUUCCUACAUACAGACAUUACCUUAA
This 28-nucleotide non-coding RNA is filed under the name Mus musculus (house mouse). Lineage: Eukaryota; Metazoa; Chordata; Mammalia; Rodentia; Muridae. The record is from RNAcentral.